Molecule: ribosomal RNA, 254 nt
Filed under: uncultured bacterium
Lineage: Bacteria
Description: partial 16S ribosomal RNA
Rfam family: Bacterial small subunit ribosomal RNA
Source: RNAcentral
UACGUAGGGUGCAAGCGUUGUCCGGAAUUACUGGGCGUAAAGGGCGCGUAGGCGGCCAGCACAAGUCAGUUGUGAAAUCUCCGAGCUUAACUCGGAACGGUCAACUGAUACUGUGCGGCUAGAGUGCGGAAGGGGCAACUGGAAUUCUUGGUGUAGCGGUGAAAUGCGUAGAUAUCGAGAGGAACACUUGCGGCGAAGGCGGGUUGCUGGGCUGAUACUGACGCUGAGGCGCGAAAGCGUGGGGAGCAAACAGG